UUCCCCACUUCACAAACAUUAAUGUGCAUAUGAAUCACUUGGGAAUAUUAUGCAUCAGAGGUUGAAGAGGUGGCCAGGAAAAGUAUUUUGAUGGCAGACUGGAGAGCAUCAUGAGAGUCAACUUUGGGCCUGUUGACUAUCAUCUCGGCAAUAAGUGUUGGGUCCUGGCCAAAGGGCUUGGAUGCAACAUGGGGCCAAUCAAUAAAUCCAUCCCCCAUGCUUUUCCUGGCCAUUAGGUAAUCAGCAGCCUAGUUCAUGUCUUGAUGGGAAGCUCUGCCAUGUGGAAGCAUCACAUCUUAGGUUUCUUGACAACUGGAUGACUUUUGAGAACAGAUCUAGGACAGAUCUAUUCUUGGAUUGUGGACAGGCAUCAGCCUACUAACAUCAUAUGGAACAGGUGACAUCCAAAUAUGUUAAGAACUUCUGACAAUGAAGAGUAAAACACACACUCAAUUUUAAAAGGCACAGGACCUAUGAAAACAUUUUAUGGUAAAAGAAAUAACAAAUGGUCAUUUCCCACAUAAAGAGGCAUCCAACCUCAUUGGUGGUCACAGGAAAAUAAAUUACAAAAAAAAUGUUUUGUGUGACCAUCAGUUAGGAAAAUUGAACGCUUCCUACUAAUAUUUUCAUGGUAAGUAAAAACAUACUAGCCAGUCAUAGGGUCUCAUGCCUGUAAUCUCAGCACUUUGGGAAGCUGAGACAUGAGGAUCCCUUAAGCUCAGGAGUUUGAGGCUAUAAUGAGCCAUGAUCAUGCACUCCAGCCUGGGUAACAGAGAGUGAGACCCGUUUCUAACUAAAUAAAUAAAUGAGUGAAUGAACAUACAUACAUACAUAUAUACACACUGGUUUUUACAUGUUUAUAGGGAGUGUAAAUGGCCUUUUAAGGCACCAUUAACAAAUAUGUAUUGAGUUGAAAGAAACAUGUUCUUGCAUGCAGGAUUCUACCUCCUAGAAUGCAUCUGAUAACACUACUUGAAAAUGUGUGUAGAAGUGCCCAUGCUAGCAUGUUAGUAGUGGACAUAUAAAUAAUAGCAAAACAAAACAAAACAAAAGUACAUAUAUGUGAGGAAUCUUUUUGGUUAUGCUGGGUUUCUAAGAUAAUGUUCAUAGAAGCAAAUCAAAUCAAAUUAAGAGCAACUGAGCAGGAAAUGAGGGAGGAAAAUACCCUCAGAGUUAUAAGAUUAUCUCAUUACACUUAAGUUUUGAUGAUGCUUCAAGUUUCCUGGGUAAGUUAUGCAGAAGUAUCUUUCUCUGAAAAUCUUCUUGCUGCAGAAAAAACCGUGUUUAGUGUCUGUAUGUGUCUUAACUUCCCAUCUGCACCUGGGGGUUAGGAUAAAGGGCACAGUCCUUGCCUGUGUUUUGGAGUGAAAGAAGCAUUGAAGGUCUUGCAAACUUUACCAAGGAUUCUCCUGGUCUCAUUUCAGAUCCAACUUCCAAUUCCAGGCAGCCUCUGUAUUUUUUUUUUGAAUGUAUAAUCAAGAUGUACUUUGAUUUGCACUCUAUUGCUAUUUGGCCUGUACAUGCAGUUUCAAGAUAGCCCCAUACACCUGCCUGCAGUGAUCCUUCAGGAAUAGAAUGGGCUUCUAAGUUGAGGAACUUGAGAGUAUACUGAGCCCUUUGUGUAUUUUUAUUGAGUUUCUUUACUCAUGCCAGGAGAAGGCUGUGGACAAACAGUAAAGGAGGAGACACUGGAAUUGUGAUGUCCAAAGAUUCCAAUGUUCAAGGAUUAUUUCAAUCCUUCAGAUAUCUCAUUUUCUUUGUUCCUUCUGUUCCUUAUUAAAGGGUCCUGGGGUCAGAAGUUGCUGAGGCUUUCUUGGUUUCAGCAUCUGCUUCUGCCAUGGGUUUGGGGACAGGGUCCCACCACAGCAUUUCACUGGGCACCUCCUGAUGCUGGCCAUGUGUCCUAAAAUCUGGAGCAGCGAUGUCAGUGAGUCAGCAUCAAUCACAGGUGGCUUUCAGAGGUUCUUGUGAGGAUAUAUUUUUGGAUUUGAGUAUUGGUUUUUCAGGACAGGAAACAGACAAGUGGCUCAUUAGGUGUCUGGAAAUUCAUAAUGCAAAGUCAUAUCCACAACUUGUUAUAAACAGAAACACAAAGAGAAAGAACCAAAGUAUGCAAGGUUGAUGAUGAUAAUCCAGCUGAAUGGAUCAGCCUAGAUCAUGGAUGCCAAGCAGACUCUACAGAGCAUAGUGGGGCUCCCAGGGUGACUGAGGGACAAUGAGGUAGAGGGAAGGUUUCCCUCUUCAGCUGGACUUUUUGCUGCCUCAAGAAUUCAGUUGAUUGGGUUAGCUUUACAUGUGAUUUAAUCAGUCCAAUGCAGUCGCAUUUGAUCUAAUCAUCUCCCCCACUUUCAAGCUAGGAAAGCAUAUUUUAUUUGGUGUUUACUUUUUCUCUGCAUUAUUAUCUUACCACAUAUGCAUGUAUCUAAUGUAAUGAACUAUAAUUUGAUAUUUGUCAUUUCCAAGCAUUUGAGAAAUUAUAACAUCUAUGUGUACAAUUUUAACACUAUAUAUAAUUUUCUUCAUCUGCAAAGUAUAUAUACACAUGUCAAUAUGUGGUCUGUCUAAUUCUGCAUCUUGAAAUCUGGGCAGGGUCUUAAAUACUUCAAGGUGGGUAUUGGGGUACAAAUCAGAUAAGGAAAAGUUCCUUGCAUUCCUGUUCCUUUGCCCCUAGCUUUGAAUUCCUGCUUAUUAACAUGAUGACAGGGCUCUGCAAGUCUCCCCUUAUCUGUGUCUAGGUCCCCAGGGCAUUCAGGAUGGAAAAAUUUCUUACUGAGGCCAUGACGAGUGUCAGGAGUGACCCAUGCCCAGCUUAAGGGCUUAGAAAAGCAGGUUCACAAGAACAACCUGCACCUGAUUCUGGGCAUGUGCGAGAGAGUGAGCACCUUUCACUGGAGCUUCACCAUGGGAUGGGGAACUGAAGACCAGACUCCCACUGCCCCUCCAUCCAAUGCUCCAUUGACCCACCUUCUUUCCAACAGAUCUCCUUUACAGAAAGGGGCUUGGAUAAGGAGGAAAAACCAUCAGAAGAAAAGAUAAGACACCCUCUUCUCAUUCAGUAAGAGCCCCGCGCAAGGCAAGAAUCAGAGUCCGGCUCAGAAGGGGAAACUCUAGGAAGAGAGAAAUCCAUUCCAUGGACAACUGCCAAGAUAGAGCAGGUGGCAUCUUGCUUUUUUGUUCCAAAGGGCAGAUAAGCAGGUUAUUUAUACAGAGCUUGAGGAGGAAAGGGGUUUCUCAGUGGCUGUGAGGAUUUUAGAGAUCCUGACAUCCAGAAAGCAUUUGGGGUCCCAGGAGGGGUUUAGCCUCCUUUCCUUAGGGAGGCAGAGGGGGCCAGGAAGGAGGAGGAAAGACAAAUGGGGUUCACCUGAAGGUGCAUGGGGACAUUCUGAGAAUGAGCAUCCGUGGGAGCUAUUCUGGUAAGUCUCUCACUCACAUGCUUCCUCUUCAAGACACCAUCAAUCACAUGAGCCAAAACUGCAAAAGGAUUGCUUGACUUUGGAAAAGAAACACAAGGCCUCUGACACUGUACAUAUCAGUGAAAUGAGGAGACCCAUGAUGCCUGCUGUGGGGGAUCCAGAGAGGCCCACACUAGGCACAGUGAGUGGCCCGGAUCUCAGUCUCAAGAGACCUCCCACUGCCACUUCAGAAAAGCCUGGUGACCUCUCUGCACACUCCAUCUGAAGCCAGUUAUCACAACACAGCCCAGGUGUGGGAACAGUAGGCAUAUUCUCUGCUGACCUGGCAGCACCUGUCUGAGCUCAUCUGGCUCCAGGGGCCUCUGUGCUGUGGUACAAACCUGUGCCAUGGCCACCCAGGUGGCCUAUGUCUUCCCCGCUGAGGGCUGGCUCAUCACAGUCACACUGCCUGGUCCCUAGGGUGGAGAAGCUCAGAGCUCUUCCUAGGAAGAAAAUGGGCCCGCCCCUUCCCUGGACAGGAGAUAAAGGAGCCUGUUGGUAGAUCAAAUGAGGCUUUAGCUGGGGUCACCCAGACCCUAUUCAAUAGAGGACACAGCUGUGUGAGAGUGAGAAGAAAGACCUGCUACUUUUUAGGCAAUUUUAGACACACUGUGUUAAUACAUGACAAAACAGGGGGCACUCUUGGGAAAGGAGUUUGAACAAUACCCUCAAAGUAGAAACUUUCAUUUAGGUCUAAAACUACUGAUAAAUUUUGUAUUUCAUGUUAGACAUUUGAUGUUUUUGGAUGUUUUAUGACAGUCACGCAUUUCUUUGUAAUAAAAAAUAUUAGGGUAUAAUCAUUCAUAUGUGUUUGUGUAUUGCAAAGUAUAGCAAAACAAAUAUAUAUGUAGAUCCUCCCCCUAUAAGUCAGAAAAGACUAGCUCUUUACUCUCCCACCCUGAGUCAAUAAAGGACUGAUAUCUGCUAACCUUUAACAGUUUUCUCUAGGGAGAGAUGUUGGUAUUUUUUCAAUUGGAUGAACAAAUAAAAUCACCAUGCUGUUGUUUCA
Long non-coding RNA from Macaca mulatta (Rhesus monkey), 4461 nucleotides. RefSeq lists it as uncharacterized. NCBI's taxonomy places the organism in Eukaryota, Metazoa, Chordata, Mammalia, Primates, Cercopithecidae. The record is from RefSeq and is a predicted model, not a curated record.